Molecule: ribosomal RNA, 253 nt
Filed under: uncultured bacterium
Lineage: Bacteria
Description: partial 16S ribosomal RNA
Rfam family: Bacterial small subunit ribosomal RNA
Source: RNAcentral
UACGGAGGGUGCAAGCGUUAAUCGGAAUUCCUGGGCGUAAAGCGUGCGCAGGCGGUUUGUUAAGUCCGUUGUGAAAGCCCCGAGCUCAACUUGGGAAUUGCAGUGGAUACUGGCAGGCUGGAGUACGGUAGAGGAAGGUGGAAUUCCCGGUGUAGCAGUGAAAUGCGUAGAUAUCGGGAGGAACACCAGUGGCGAAGGCGGCCUUCUGGACCAGUACUGACGCUCAUGCACGAAAGCGUGGGGAGCAAACAGG